Molecule: ribosomal RNA, 1447 nt
Filed under: uncultured bacterium
Lineage: Bacteria
Description: bacterial SSU rRNA
Rfam family: Bacterial small subunit ribosomal RNA
Source: RNAcentral
GACGAACGCUGGCGGCGUGCUUAACACAUGCAAGUCGAACGGAAAGGCCCUGCUUUUGUGGGGUGCUCGAGUGGCGAACGGGUGAGUAACACGUGAGUAACCUGCCCUUGACUUUGGGAUAACUUCAGGAAACUGGGGCUAAUACCGGAUAGGAGCUCCUGCUGCAUGGUGGGGGUUGGAAAGUUUCGGCGGUUGGGGAUGGACUCGCGGCUUAUCAGCUUGUUGGUGGGGUAGUGGCUUACCAAGGCUUUGGCGGGUAGCCGGCCUGAGAGGGUGACCGGCCACAUUGGGACUGAGAUACGGCCCAGACUCCUACGGGAGGCAGCAGUGGGGAAUAUUGCACAAUGGGCGGAAGCCUGAUGCAGCAACGCCGCGUGCGGGAUGACGGCCUUCGGGUUGUAAACCGCUUUCGCCUGUGACGAAGCGUGAGUGACGGUAAUGGGUAAAGAAGCACCGGCUAACUACGUGCCAGCAGCCGCGGUGAUACGUAGGGUGCGAGCGUUGUCCGGAUUUAUUGGGCGUAAAGGGCUCGUAGGUGGUUGAUCGCGUCGGAAGUGUAAUCUUGGGGCUUAACCCUGAGCGUGCUUUCGAUACGGGUUGACUUGAGGAAGGUAGGGGAGAAUGGAAUUCCUGGUGGAGCGGUGGAAUGCGCAGAUAUCAGGAGGAACACCAGUGGCGAAGGCGGUUCUCUGGGCCUUUCCUGACGCUGAGGAGCGAAAGCGUGGGGAGCGAACAGGCUUAGAUACCCUGGUAGUCCACGCUGUAAACGGUGGGUACUAGGUGUGGGGUCCAUUCCACGGGUUCCGUGCCGUAGCUAACGCUUUAAGUACCCCGCCUGGGGAGUACGGCCGCAAGGCUAAAACUCAAAGGAAUUGACGGGGCCCCGCACAAGCGGCGGAGCGUGCGGAUUAAUUCGAUGCAACGCGUAGAACCUUACCUGGGUUUGACAUGGAUCGGGAGCGCUCAGAGAUGGGUGUGCCUCUUUUGGGGUCGGUUCACAGGUGGUGCAUGGCUGUCGUCAGCUCGUGUCGUGAGAUGUUGGGUUAAGUCCCGCAACGAGCGCAACCCUUGUUCACUGUUGCCAGCACGUUAUGGUGGGGACUCAGUGGAGACCGCCGGGGUCAACUCGGAGGAAGGUGGGGAUGACGUCAAGUCAUCAUGCCCCUUAUGUCCAGGGCUUCACGCAUGCUACAAUGGCUGGUACAGAGAGUGGCGAGCCUGUGAGGGUGAGCGAAUCUCGGAAAGCCGGUCUCAGUUCGGAUUGGGGUCUGCAACUCGACCUCAUGAAGUCGGAGUCGCUAGUAAUCGCAGAUCAGCAACGCUGCGGUGAAUACGUUCCCGGGGCUUGUACACACCGCCCGUCAAGUCAUGAAAGUUGGUAACACCCGAAGCCGGUGGCCUAACCGUUGUGGGGGAGCCGUCGAAGGUGGGACUGGUGAUUAGGACU